This 72-nucleotide transfer RNA is filed under the name Felis catus (domestic cat). It matches the Rfam family "tRNA". From Rfam's summary of the family: Transfer RNA (tRNA) molecules are approximately 80 nucleotides in length. Their secondary structure includes four short double-helical elements and three loops (D, anti-codon, and T loops). Lineage: Eukaryota; Metazoa; Chordata; Mammalia; Carnivora; Felidae. The record is from Rfam by way of RNAcentral. RNAcentral also lists the same sequence under 4 other names.
ACCUGGCUGGCCUAGUAGUAGAGCACGAGACUCUUGAUCUCGGGGCUGUGAGUUUGAGUCCCACGUUGGGUG